Molecule: small RNA, 158 nt
Filed under: Mytilus galloprovincialis (Mediterranean mussel)
Lineage: Eukaryota; Metazoa; Mollusca; Bivalvia; Mytilida; Mytilidae
Source: RNAcentral
AGAUUCUACGACUGCAUCGAGUGUGAUACGAUAUUUAUCCACUUGAGACAGUUAAAUUUUCAAAUUUAAAACAUUAGGCUCGCUGAUUGUUUUAAAUUAAAAUUUAACUGUCAAGAGGGGAUAAAUAUCGUAUUACACGAGAUUUGGAGGUAGAAUCU